GAGACAGCAGCGGCGGCGCCCCUCUCUCCCCCUCUCAAAUCUUCACUCAAAAUCGGCCGGAUCUUAAGCUUUUUGUCGUGGAUUUCGUCGCCCAUCCAUCCCUAAAGGAACACUUCGAGCAUGGUCACGCGGUAGGAAGGAUGCCAAAAGCAGGGGUGUAGAUGUCCACGGCCGUUGUUGCCCAUCAGGACCCUCUUCGGCAUCUUCACUGACGGGUCUGCUGAAUGAAACAAAGAUAUUGGGGUGCUGCUGCGUAAUAACAGGAUGACACUUCUCAGUGAGCAUUAUGAUAAGGGUCACCGUGGGCGGCUUAUGGCGGAUGAGAGACAGGU
Molecule: long non-coding RNA, 332 nt
Organism: Triticum dicoccoides
Lineage: Eukaryota; Viridiplantae; Streptophyta; Magnoliopsida; Poales; Poaceae
Exons: 3
Source: RefSeq, a predicted model, not a curated record